AAAAUGUCAUUAUCUCAAUCCUUUCCCCAAAAUUCAGAAAGAAGAAACGCCGCCUCUCUCCUCUCCCCUUCUCUGUUUCUCUCCCAUCUCCACCACCCCCGUCCAUCACUAACAGAAGCCACUUCACCAACUCCUGCACCCUGAAAAUCCGCGCAACAGUGAAGAGUCAGCACGAUUUUGGGGAUAAAGGUGUAAAAUUUUCAAAUUUCAUCUGGAUUUUGCUUUUUUCUUCAGUUUUGGUUUCAAAUCCGGAUGUUCAAGUCCGGAUUUGAUCCUAUAAAUAGGGUGUUCUUCAACCCUAGAAAAGGCAGAAAAAGAUUGAAAAAAAAAAAGGGAAAAAAGAUUGGGAAAAGGGGCUUUUAAAAAUCGGUGAAGAAACAAUUGGCGGAAGAAGCAAAGUUUUGUGAGGAAAUCUCUGAGUUCGGAGUCCUGAUCGAGUUCGCGGCUGGAAAAUACUUGACGUAGAAGCUCCAGUUUCGCUGCCCUAGAAAAGGUUUCUCUCAAGAACAAGCAAGGGUUUCUAUUGGGGAUUCAAAUUCAAGGAGGUUUCACCAUCAAUCUUCACGAAUUCAUGAACUAAGUGUGUUAAAGAAAUUCUCUGCCUCAUGAGAGGCAGUUAGCGUACCCAGAGGCUUAUGAUAUUGCUGAUAGGAUAAUCGACUUUGACUUAUACAAGAAUUUCAAGGAUAGAUACGAUGAUCUCAGUAAAUGAGCAUGAACUCCCAGUGGCGCAGGAUUUUAUUCAUUAGUUUUUGGGUUCCAAUGGGAUGAAGAAAUCAUAAUAUGUCAGAGGGGAGAGGUCAAAUCCACAUGGCAAGAUCUAGAUGGGACAAAGAGGAUUCUUGGAGUCAUUAACAUGGACGACAUACGUUAUUGGGCUAUUGAGAUACUACUCGAGGAGGGAAAGAUCAAGGUUUAUGACUGCAACUUACCUUCCUUGGACGAGGGCAAUUUUUUACCCACAUGCAGCCACUGUUGGAGUUGUUCCCCAUUUUGUUGAGGCAGAGUAAACUGAUGGAUUAAUUGCCAGUGAAAUUUUUUAUGAAACAACCAUAGGAUUUUGAAGGUCGAAAUAAGGACAUGUACCUUUCAAAAAAAUAAAACUGAUGCUGCAUGUGGGUUGUACGCGCUUGCACACAUCGAAUGUUUGUUGACCGACACAGAAAUGGUCGAGCCAAUGACCUUUUUGUACGACAAUGCCAUGGCAAACAUGCAAAAAGUCUGGGCUUAUAGGGUACUAACUGGACGCUUGGAGCCUAUGUAUUGAGAAGAGCUUGCGAAAUAACAAUUUUUAUUUCAUCACUUCACCUUACAUACGUAACUUUACAUAUAGUGAUAAUUUUUUGACAUUUUACAAUAAUUACGCUUGAA
This is a long non-coding RNA of Capsicum annuum, 1371 nucleotides long. RefSeq lists it as uncharacterized. The record is from RefSeq and is a predicted model, not a curated record. Lineage: Eukaryota; Viridiplantae; Streptophyta; Magnoliopsida; Solanales; Solanaceae. The transcript is spliced from 3 exons.